ACGAACGCUGGCGGCGUGCUUAACACCUGCAAGUCGAACGGAAAGGCCCCUUUGGGGGUACUCGAGUGGCGAACGGGUGAGUAACACGUGAGUAACCUGCCCUUGACUUCGGGAUAACUUCAGGAAACUGGGGCUAAUACCGGAUAGGAAUCCUUGCUGCAUGGUGGGGGUUGGAAAGCUUCGGCGGUUUUGGAUGGACUCGCGGCUUAUCAGCUUGUUGGUGGGGUAGUGGCUUACCAAGGCUUUGACGGGUAGCCGGCCUGAGAGAGCGACCGGCCACAUUGGGACUGAGAUACGGCCCAGACUCCUACGGGAGGCAGCAGUGGGGAAAAUUGCACAAUGGGCGGAAGCCUGAUGCAGCAACGCCGCGUGCGGGAUGACGGCCUUCGGGUUGUAAACCGCUUUCAGCAGGGGCGAAGCUUGUGGUGACGGUACCUGCAGAAGAAGCACCGGCUAACUACGUG
Molecule: ribosomal RNA, 464 nt
Filed under: uncultured bacterium
Lineage: Bacteria
Description: partial 16S ribosomal RNA
Rfam family: Bacterial small subunit ribosomal RNA
Source: RNAcentral